CCUACGGGAGGCAGCAGUGGGGAAUAUUGGACAAUGGGGGCAACCCUGAUCCAGCCAUGCCGCGUGUGUGAAGAAGGCUUUCGGGUUGUAAAGCACUUUCAGUGAGGAGGAAAACCUUGCGAUUAAUACUCGUAGGGCUUGACGUUACUCACAGAAGAAGCACCGGCUAACUCCGUGCCAGCAGCCGCGGUAAU
RNAcentral lists this ribosomal RNA (194 nucleotides) under uncultured bacterium. RNAcentral's name for it is "partial 16S ribosomal RNA". It matches the Rfam family "Bacterial small subunit ribosomal RNA", at positions 338 to 524 of the family's 1533-position model. The record is from RNAcentral.